This 1389-nucleotide ribosomal RNA is filed under the name uncultured bacterium. RNAcentral's name for it is "bacterial SSU rRNA". It matches the Rfam family "Bacterial small subunit ribosomal RNA". The record is from RNAcentral.
AGAGUUUGAUCCUGGCUCAGGAUGAACGCUGGCGGCGUGCCUAACACAUGCAAGUCGAGCGAAGCGAUUUUGAGGAAGUUUUCGGAUGGAAUUGAAAUUGACUUAGCGGCGGACGGGUGAGUAACACGUGGGUAAUCUGCCUUAUACAGGGGGAUAACAGUUAGAAAUGACUGCUAAUACCGCAUAAGCGCACGGGGACGCAUGUUUCUGUGUGAAAAACUCCGGUAGUAUAAGAUGAGCCCGCGUCUGAUUAGCUUGUUGGUGGGGUAACGGCCUACCAAGGCGACGAUCAGUAGCCGGCCUGAGAGGGUGAACGGCCACAUUGGGACUGAGACACGGCCCAAACUCCUACGGGAGGCAGCAGUGGGGAAUAUUGCACAAUGGGGGAAACCCUGAUGCAGCGACGCCGCGUGAGUGAAGGAGUAUUUCGGUAUGUAAAGCUCUAUCAGCAGGGAAGAAAGAAGACGGUACCUGACUAAGAAGCCCCGGCUAACUACGUGCCAGCAGCCGCGGUAAUACGUAGGGGGCAAGCGUUAUCCGGAUUUAUUGGGUUUAAAGGGUGCGCAGGCGGUCUGUUAAGUCAGCGGUAAAAGCCCGGGGCUCAACCCCGGCGAGCCGUUGAAACUGGCGGACUAGAGAGGAAGAGAAGUAGGCGGAAUGCGCGGUGUAGCGGUGAAAUGCUUAGAUAUCGCGCAGAACUCCGAUUGCGAAGGCAGCCUACCGGCUUCUGUCUGACGCUCAGGCACGAAAGCGUGGGUAUCGAACAGGAUUAGAUACCCUGGUAGUCCACGCAGUAAACGAUGAAUGCCGGCUGUCCGGCCCGACUGGGGGCUGGGUGGCGAAGCGAAAGCGAUAAGCAUUCCACCUGGGGAGUACGCCGGCAACGGUGAAACUCGAAGGAAUUGACGGGGGCCCGCACAAGCGGAGGAACAUGUGGUUUAAUUCGAUGAUACGCGAGGAACCUUACCCGGGCUCAAACGGCGGAUGACAGGUGCAGAGACGCACCCUCCCACGGGCAUCCGCCGAGGCGCUGCAUGGUUGUCGUCAGCUCGUGCCGUGAGGUGUCGGCUUAAGUGCCAUAACGAGCGCAACCCCUGCCGACAGUUGCUAACGGAUAAUGCCGAGGACUCUGUCGGGACUGCCGGCGCAAGCCGUGAGGAAGGCGGGGAUGACGUCAAAUCAGCACGGCCCUUACGUCCGGGGCGACACACGUGUUACAAUGGCCGGUACAGCGGGAAGCCAGGCGGCGACGCCGAGCGGAACCCGAAAACCGGUCUCAGUUCGGAUCGGAGUCUGCAACCCGACUCCGUGAAGCUGGAUUCGCUAGUAAUCGCGCAUCAGCCAUGGCGCGGUGAAUACGUUCCCGGGCCUUGCACACACCGCCCGUCA